Molecule: ribosomal RNA, 524 nt
Filed under: uncultured bacterium
Lineage: Bacteria
Description: partial 16S ribosomal RNA
Rfam family: Bacterial small subunit ribosomal RNA
Source: RNAcentral
GACGAACGCUGGCGGCGUGCUUAACACAUGCAAGUCGAACGAGACGAUUGAAAGCUUGCUUUCGAAAGUCGAGUGGCAAACGGGUGAGUAACGCGUAGACAACCUGCCUUUGAGAUGGGGACAACAGUUCGAAAGGACUGCUAAUACCGAAUGUUGUAUAUUUUCCACAUGGAAGAUAUAUUAAAGAUGGCCUCUAUUUAUAAACUAUCGCUCAAAGAUGGGUCUGCGUCUGAUUAGCUGGUUGGUGGGGUAACGGCCUACCAAGGCGACGAUCAGUAGCCGGGCUGAGAGGAUGGACGGCCACAUUGGGACUGAGACACGGCCCAGACUCCUACGGGAGGCAGCAGUGGGGAAUCUUCCACAAUGGACGAAAGUCUGAUGUAGCAACGCCGCGUGAGUGAAGAAGGGUUUCGGCUCGUAAAGCUCUGUUGUCGGGGACGAAUGUGCAGUAUUUGAAUAAAGUACUGCAAUGACGGUACCUGACGAGGAAGCCACGGCUAACUACGUGCCAGCAGCCGCAGUAA